GACGGGUGAGUAACACGUGGGCAACCUGCCUGUAAGACUGGGAUAACGCCGGGAAACCGGGGCUAAUACCAGAUAGUUUUUUCCUCCGCAUGGAGGAAAAAGGAAAGGCGGCUUCGGCUGCCACUUACAGAUGGGCCCGCGGCGCAUUAGCUAGUUGGCGGGGUAACGGCCCACCAAGGCAACGAUGCGUAGCCGACCUGAGAGGGUGAUCGGCCACAUUGGGACUGAGACACGGCCCAAACUCCUACGGGAGGCAGCAGUAGGGAAUCUUCCGCAAUGGACGAAAGUCUGACGGAGCAACGCCGCGUGAGUGAAGAAGGCCUUCGGGUCGUAAAACUCUGUUGCCGGGGAAGAACAAGUGCCGUUCGAACAGGGCGGCGCCUUGACGGUACCCGGCCAGAAAGCCACGGCUAACUACGUGCCAGCAGCCGCGGUAAUACGUAGGUGGCAAGCGUUGUCCGGAAUUAUUGGGCGUAAAGCGCGCGCAGGCGGCUUCUUAAGUCUGAUGUGAAAUCUUGCGGCUCAACCGCAAGCGGUCAUUGGAAACUGGGAGGCUUGAGUGCAGAAGAGGAGAGUGGAAUUCCACGUGUAGCGGUGAAAUGCGUAGAGAUGUGGAGGAACACCAGUGGCGAAGGCGGCUCUCUGGUCUGUAACUGACGCUGAGGCGCGAAAGCGUGGGGAGCAAACAGGAUUAGAUACCCUGGUAGUCCACGCCGUAAACGAUGAGUGCUAAGUGUUAGAGGGUUUCCGCCCUUUAGUGCUGCAGCUAACGCAUUAAGCACUCCGCCUGGGGGAGUACGGCCGCAAGGCUGAAACUCAAAGGAAUUGACGGGGGCCCGCACAAGCGGUGGAACCAUGUGGUUUAAUUCGAAGCAACGCGAAGAACCUUACCAGGUCUUGACAUCCUCUGACCUCCCUGGAGACAGGGCCUUCCCCUUCGGGGGACAGAGUGACAGGUGGUGCAUGGUUGUCGUCAGCUCGUGUCGUGAGAUGUUGGGUUAAGUCCCGCAACGAGCGCAACCCUUGACCUUAGUUGCCAGCAUUGAGUUGGGCACUCUAAGGUGACUGCCGGUGACAAACCGGAGGAAGGUGGGGAUGACGUCAAAUCAUCAUGCCCCUUAUGACCUGGGCUACACACGUGCUACAAUGGAUGGUACAAAGGGCUGCGAGACCGCGAGGUUAAGCCAAUCCCAGAAAACCAUUCCCAGUUCGGAUUGCAGGCUGCAACCCGCCUGCAUGAAGCCGGAAUCGCUAGUAAUCGCGGAUCAGCAUGCCGCGGUGAAUACGUUCCCGGGCCUUGUACACACCGCCCGUCACACCA
This 1321-nucleotide ribosomal RNA is filed under the name Bacillus sp. (in: firmicutes). RNAcentral describes it as "bacterial SSU rRNA". It matches the Rfam family "Bacterial small subunit ribosomal RNA", at positions 100 to 1404 of the family's 1533-position model. The record is from RNAcentral. Lineage: Bacteria; Bacillati; Bacillota; Bacilli; Caryophanales; Bacillaceae.